RNAcentral lists this ribosomal RNA (1214 nucleotides) under Staphylococcus pseudintermedius. Its description in RNAcentral is "partial 23S ribosomal RNA". It matches the Rfam family "Bacterial large subunit ribosomal RNA", at positions 1642 to 2857 of the family's 2925-position model. Lineage: Bacteria; Bacillati; Bacillota; Bacilli; Caryophanales; Staphylococcaceae. The record is from RNAcentral.
CCGUACCGCAAACCGACACAGGUAGUCAAGAUGAGAAUUCUAAGGUGAGCGAGCGAACUCUCGUUAAGGAACUCGGCAAAAUGACCCCGUAACUUCGGGAGAAGGGGUGCUCUUUGAGGUUCACGCUUCGAAGAGCCGCAGUGAAUAGGCCCAAGCGACUGUUUAUCAAAAACACAGGUCUCUGCUAAACCGUAAGGUGACGUAUAGGGGCUGACGCCUGCCCGGUGCUGGAAGGUUAAGAGGAGUGGUUAGCGCAAGCGAAGCUACGAAUCGAAGCCCCAGUAAACGGCGGCCGUAACUAUAACGGUCCUAAGGUAGCGAAAUUCCUUGUCGGGUAAGUUCCGACCCGCACGAAAGGCGUAACGAUUUGGGCACUGUCUCAACGAGAGACUCGGUGAAAUCAUAGUACCGGUGAAGAUGCCGGUUACCCGCGACAGGACGGAAAGACCCCGUGGAGCUUUACUGUAGCCUGAUAUUGAAAUUCGGUACAGUUUGUACAGGAUAGGUAGGAGCCUUAGAAGCGUGAGCGCUAGCUUACGUGGAGGCAUUGGUGGGAUACUACCCUAAUUGUAUUGGAUUUCUAACCCGCAGCACUUAUCGUGCUGGGAGACAGUGUCAGGCGGGCAGUUUGACUGGGGCGGUCGCCUCCUAAAGAGUAACGGAGGCGCUCAAAGGUUCCCUCAGAAUGGUUGGAAAUCAUUCAUAGAGUGUAAAGGCAUAAGGGAGCUUGACUGCGAGACCUACAAGUCGAGCAGGGUCGAAAGACGGACUUAGUGAUCCGGUGGUUCCGCAUGGAAGGGCCAUCGCUCAACGGAUAAAAGCUACCCCGGGGAUAACAGGCUUAUCUCCCCCAAGAGUUCACAUCGACGGGGAGGUUUGGCACCUCGAUGUCGGCUCAUCGCAUCCUGGGGCUGUAGUCGGUCCCAAGGGUUGGGCUGUUCGCCCAUUAAAGCGGUACGCGAGCUGGGUUCAGAACGUCGUGAGACAGUUCGGUCCCUAUCCGUCGUGGGCGUAGGAAAUUUGAGAGGAGCUGUCCUUAGUACGAGAGGACCGGGAUGGACAUACCUCUGGUGUACCAGUUGUCGUGCCAACGGCAUAGCUGGGUAGCUAUGUAUGGACGGGAUAAGUGCUGAAAGCAUCUAAGCAUGAAGCCCCCCUCGAGAUGAGAUUUCCCAACUUCGGUUAUAAGAUCCCUCAAAGAUGAUGAGGUGAAU